AGUAAUGUAUGGGGAGUCUACCCGAUAGAGGGGAAUAACUACUGGAAACGGUGGCUAAUACCGCAUAAUGUCUACGGACCAAAGCAGGGGCUCUUCGGACCUUGCACUAUCGGAUGAACCCAUAUGGGAUUAGCUAGUAGGUGGGGUAAAGGCUCACCUAGGCGACGAUCUCUAGCUGGUCUGAGAGGAUGAUCAGCCACACUGGGACUGAGACACGGCCCAG
Molecule: ribosomal RNA, 223 nt
Filed under: uncultured bacterium
Lineage: Bacteria
Description: partial 16S ribosomal RNA
Rfam family: Bacterial small subunit ribosomal RNA
Source: RNAcentral